UGGUUAGUAAUUUUCUGGAACUUUACCCAUGGGGCAUUUUUGAUACAUAGUACUAGAUUUCAAUCGACGAUACUAAGAACAAAAUUUUAAGUCAUUUUCCUCUUUUAAUGAAGAGAUAAAUUAAAUAAAUCUCCGUAAGUCCUAGCUUUUCGAUGAGGUGGUUAGCUAUUAGACAGAAAGCUGCUAUGAGUUCAACUCUUGGUGCCUUCCAUUUGAAAUUUGCACUUGUUUCAGGCAUUUGAUUAAAAAAAGAUGAAUCUGCCUGCACACGAUUGAGUUUGUUUCAUCUCUUAACAAUUUUAAGCUUUGAGAUGAGAUGGUUCAACAUUUCUAAUACUGUCUAUUGUUACCUUAUGAAACAUGCCAUUAUAUUUAUAUUUUAUUGAAGAAUUUGAUGUCUAUGCUUGCAAAAUCUUGCAGAUUCGACUAAGGCCAUCAAUGAAGAAGGGAUGCCGAUGCAUGGGAGACCAUUCAUGAAGGGUAAACUCUAUAUUCAUUUCAACGUGGAUUUUCCUAAAUCUCUAGCUCCAGAGCAAGUUGGGGCCUUGGAGGCUGCCCUACCUCCAAAGCCAUCUCUGC
Molecule: long non-coding RNA, 579 nt
Filed under: Olea europaea (common olive)
Lineage: Eukaryota; Viridiplantae; Streptophyta; Magnoliopsida; Lamiales; Oleaceae
Description: long non-coding RNA (OEUR_LNC008969)
Source: RNAcentral